This 849-nucleotide long non-coding RNA is filed under the name Polistes fuscatus (common paper wasp). RNAcentral describes it as "uncharacterized LOC122514590". The record is from RNAcentral. Lineage: Eukaryota; Metazoa; Arthropoda; Insecta; Hymenoptera; Vespidae.
AAGAGAAAGAAAAGCAUCAUCUUUCUAAAUCAAUUCAAAAAAAAAAAAGAUUUGAAUUAUUUAAAGACCACGUUCUUACGUUUACAAUUUCAUGGGGAAUUGCUUUUUUUUUUCUUCCAAACGAUACCUUCUAUGUAAAUGUUUACCCCAAUUUUUCCAUUAAUUAUUUAUUAUUAAUAUUGAGAUCUGAUAAAUCAUUGAUAUCUAACUUUUAAAAAACUUUGGUUACUUUGAAUUUUGCUAGAGCUCUUUUUAUUGAAAAAAAGAAGGACGAAAAUAAUGCGUUAAAGUUUAUAACACCUUUCUUGGUAUGGAAAUACUAAAAAAUUGAGACACACCAUGUAUAUUCUAUAAGAACGACUACGUGAUCGACGAUCCCUUUUCACCAAAAUCCUGUUUAAUAUUCCCUUCUUGCUAUGGUGUAUCCAUCAUAUAAAUAACAACAACAAAAAAAAAGAAAAAAAAACUUACUUUCUCCAUCAUCAUCAAACACAUCAUCGAGAAAACUUUUUCCUCGCGUUUAUGGUUGCUUCCACGAACAUUAUUCGAAGAAUAAAAAGAAGAGGAAGAAGAUGAGAAGAAAGAAGAAUAGGUUUCGUAAAACUAAUGAAAAAUAAAAAAAGAAAAUUGAAGGAAGAAGAAAAUAUGAAACGAACGAAAAAUUAAUUGAUUUUGAAAAUGGGUCGUCCGACAUUUUCGAACAGGAAAACAUUUACGUGGGUGUGUGUGUGUGUCUGUGUGUGUAUGUAUAAUACACGCCGAACAAUUUUCUUUACAUUGAAAUAUCCCAUUUCGAAAAUACGCCCCUCGCGGCUAUCACCCAAUGAGAGCAAAUAUCACGGCACAAAA